This 373-nucleotide ribosomal RNA is filed under the name uncultured archaeon. RNAcentral describes it as "bacterial SSU rRNA". It matches the Rfam family "Archaeal small subunit ribosomal RNA", at positions 30 to 382 of the family's 1478-position model. The record is from RNAcentral.
AAGAGGGUAUGGAUGGUCCGGGAAAAGGCCUCAAACUCCGGGUGCUCAAAAAUGGUGCUUUGUAAGCCCUCGGCGCACUGCUCAGUAACACGCGGAUAAUCUGCCCUCGAGUGGGGGAUAACCCCGGGAAACUGGGAAUAAUACCCCAUAGCCGUUCCAUGAUGGAAGGCUGGGACGGCGAAAGCUGAGGCGCUCGAGGAUGGAUCUGUGGCCUAUCAGGUCGUAGGGGGUGUCACGGACCCCCUAGCCGAAGACGGGUACGGGCUUUGAGAGAAGUCGCCCGGAGAUGGGUUCUGAGACAUGAACCCAGGUCCUACGGGACGCAGCAGGCGCGAAACCUCCACAAUGUGGGAAACCACGAUGGGGGAACUCC